CACCAUUUGACUUCACUGUUAUUAAUGAAUGUGAGGACAACCCAGAGUUGCUGGAGGAAGCGGUACAAGAGGCACAGCGGGUGCGCCAGCUUCAUAGUGCUGACCUUGUACACUGGAUGAAGGGGAGCACUUCAGCAAGGAAACACCUUG
This is a long non-coding RNA of Epinephelus fuscoguttatus (brown-marbled grouper), 150 nucleotides long. RefSeq lists it as uncharacterized. Lineage: Eukaryota; Metazoa; Chordata; Actinopteri; Perciformes; Serranidae. The transcript is spliced from 3 exons. The record is from RefSeq and is a predicted model, not a curated record.